UUUAACUCUUUAAAAAGAAAAAAAAAUCAUCAUUGUUUUUUGAGAAUAGUAGCCAUACUUAACAAGUUAGACUUAUCCUUACAUGAGAAAUUCCCAAUGAUAUAUUCAAUUUUUGUUAAAACUUUGUGUGACUUCAGAUAUUGCUUUUUAAAUAUUUAUUUUUAUUGCUGCCUUGACGGCUAUUACCACCUUUGUUAAAAUUUUCUAACUAGCUCCUUUUUUGGGGGGAUGCGACUGUUACAGGGCGGCUCUAAUUGUUACUGCAAUUAUUAUAGCUAGAAGAGACACCUUCUUACCACAAAGCGAAACAAAAGUUUCUGUCCAAACCAUUAUUUUUUAAAUAAAAACAUUGUGAUAAUUCUGCAUUAUGUUCUCACAAAGGUAAGCAAUCCAACGAAAAAUUAAAUACAUGUGCAUGAUUUUUUUUUCAAAAGGUUUUAUUUGGGAGGGCAAAUUGUGAAAUUUAUUCAUGGUUUAACAUGCAGGACUGCACUACAUAUAAUUGCUCAAAUCAGUAUAAAAAAAAAAUCAAUAUCUUAUUAUAAGUUACCUAAUGAUAAAUCCCGUCCCUUUACUAUUCUGAUCGAAAUGGCCUAGAACUAAAGUUGCCCUAAAGUAAACUGCCAUGUUGACUUAUUACAGAGCACUACUUGCUAGCCAGUAAAAAAGUUCACAAAAUAUUUUCCAAAACCCACUUUGUUGUGUGUAGUGAAGUCUUGUGAGGGACAUACCCGAGUGCAUGUCUUGCUACUAAUGCAAGGUGAACACAGGUGUACAAAAUUAUUCACAAGAACAUUUGUCUAAAAAGCCGAAUUUGGUUUCAGAACAUCUAAUUUAUCCCAUGUCCAGUUACAUAGUUACACACUCUUUUUGCAACACUUUAAACCUUUUCGGUCCACAGGAGAGUUCCGCCUCUGCCCUCCCCCCCAUAAGAAUUUUAAAAAAACAGCAUCUCUUUGGUGUACUGCAUAGUUAUCAGUCUUACUAAUUAUAUAUGUAUCUACCUUACUGGCUAUUACAUGAAUCUACACUUUAAAAUCUCUAAUAAAACCUUAUAAUCGGGAAAAUAUAGUACCUUGCAUUAUGAUUUUCCUUAGUACUUGAGACUUACAACUUACAAAUUCACGGUGUAAAUUUUGGACAUUGAUUUAUCCGAUUUCCUCAUUUUUUGUAAAGUUUACCCAACAAUUAUGAAGGAUCGGAUUUUGGGCAAUUUUUGGUGUUUUUCAUGCAAAUUAUGUAGGAACCAGAAAAUAACUUAUUUAACUAUCAGAAACCUUAAACAAAAUGUGAAAAUUUGCUUUUGAAAUAAAAUUUUAUACAGAUGGUGGUAUUUUUGACAAAUUUCAAGUUUCCUAUGACGUUAAGGAAAAAGUGCUGACAUAAGCUAAAGUUUAUAGCAUACAUUUUAUUUCCUUUAUCAUAAUGUGUCAAGUUUGAUUCAAUUUGGAGAAGCAUUUCAAAAUUAAGGAGGGGGUGGAAAUCUGCCCCUCUUACCCCCUGUCAUAAAUUUGUUUAAGAAAACUCUAGACCGAUUAAGGCAAGUAACAGUAUCAAAACAACCACAGGCUUUUGAGGAAUUUUUGCGGACAAACUGCAAAAGUUGACUCAACUUUUGCAGUUUGGCAACUUGUGUGUUUUAAAGAAAUUUUUUGCGAAAAAUGAGUUUAAAUUACUACAGAAUUUUUUUUUAAUUUAAAGGGAACCCGAGGUAUAAAAUGAUGUUGGACUUAUAAUAUAGAGCUUAAAAAGUUGGUUAACAAGUCUUUAAAUUUUUUAGAAACCUCUUUUCGUUCCCAAGAUAUUCGCAUUUAAAGAAUUUCAGAUUUAAUUAUGCUGCAUAAAUUAUGAUGUCAUAUUUAAGUAAUAUCAAAUUUGACAUUUUCUGUCAUCAGUAAUUUUAGACCUUUUAAGGGAUGUGCAUUCAAACUUAAUAUAGAUAUUAUAAAAGUUCAUUGAUUAACAUAAUUUUUUUUGUCAAAAUGAAACUUUAUAAAAUUUAUGUAUAACUUCGGAUCUGCAUGUGUUUUUGGGAGUAAACAUGUAGGUCCUAUACAGGCUUACCUAGAAAAUUUUAUUGCAAACCAUGUUGCAAAUCUCAAGUUAAUACUAGUGUUAUAUGUUGAAUUAUCUUUUUUUAAUAAUAAUAAUAAAAUGUUUAAGCUCGAAUAAUGUUUUAUGAUUGCUCUUCUCCUCAGAUAGCAUAGGAACAUUGUGCUUGCAUGUAUCGAUGCAAUUUAAAAUAUUAAAGUUAUUAAAUUUUAGGUAAUAGGGUCACGUGCUAUGAAAAAAACUUCUACCUUUUUCAACGAAAAAGGUAGAAGUGAAAAAUAUUUUAAAAGUGAUAUCUUCAGUCACAAAACUUUUAAAAUGUGGAUUUGUAACUGAAAAUAUCUCAUGCAAAUCUUUUAGGUAAGUGCCACUUGUAAAAGUACAAGAUCCCUUUAAUGGGGGAACUCUAGUGAAAUCACUUUUUCUUUUUUUCUUUUUAUACGUACUGAAAAAAGCAUCAGGUAUCAGAAACAACGCAUUUUCAUCUGGGACCUGAUUGUAAACAAUGAUGUCCAUCAUGCAGAAAGUCUGAACUAGCACAGAGAACGUUUAUGUUAAAUCUUUAGUUUACAUUUUUGUAUGUACUUUACCUUUAAAUCUGUAAAAAAAUGGAUAGUUGUUCUGCAAUUUGAAUGUGCCAAUCGACCAGGGAAAUAAAAAAUUCAGUUUCCACAAAUUUCCGUCUUUGAAAAAGAAAGAACUCGGACAAAAACGGUCAGCAAAAUAGGAUGUGCAGGGGAUCUACCAAGCAAUGAAUGUUUUUAUAUUUGUUAUCACACUUCACAGAUCUUCACGUAAUAAGUUCCAUAAAAUAUUGCCACUUCAUAAAAAUGCCUUUUUAGCUAGUCAAUACGGUCGAAGUUUCUCAUUUCUUCUCAUUUUCAUUAUUUGUACUUAUAUCCACACAACACAACCAAUCUCCAAUACAAACACCAAUAAAAAAGUUAAUGUAUCUUUCUUAGCACUUGUCCGUUUCUAUUCUUUGUUUUUUAAAAGAGAAGCUUUUUUGAUGGAAGGACCUGCCAAAUUUUUUCAGGGGAAAAUGUGCCCAUUCAGUCUUGAACUGAUACCUUGGAUCAAAACCAUUAUUAAUCAUUUAUGAUGAUGCUGCGCUUUAUGCAACAAAAAUAGAAACGUUUUACAUGAAAGUUGGGUUAGCAUUCUUCAUCAUAUCAUGGCCUGACUGGAAGUAGUUUUUGCAUUUUCACAUGUAGAAAGUCACAAUCGAUUAUUGAUCCUUUCAUGUCAUGUCAUUCUACAUGCAUUGCUGAAAUCAGUCAAACAUGUAAUCAUGUUGCCUCUGCUUUAUAUCGUAUGAAAGUUUCUGUCAAAAUUGGACUUACAAAUAGAGUCUGUACAAGCACUGCUAACGAGUAGAUUCAGCUCAGUGAAUUCCAUGAGUCGUGUGAGAUCGCACACGCACGUGCUCACACACGCACAUCAGCUAUCAAGGCGUGCAAUUCAUUGCACAUGCUGAAUAUGCUCUUUGCUCCUGAAAAAGCCAUAAAAAUAACAAAGAAAUUAUAAGAAGUUGAUUUUCUAGAGCAUGGUUAAGUUGCCGCUUACAGCAAUGCAUAAAGCAUUUAACUAUUAACUAUAUUUGAAAAAUCAAUCUUCUAAAAUCGUGAGCUUCAACUAUAUCAUAAGAAACAGUUUAUAACCACUUGUGGUUAAAUUAAAUUAUUUUAAAAAUGUUAAUUGUUUUUUCUUCCAUGUUAAAUAAAUGUUUGUAAAUUAAAUGCUGUGUUUUUUCUGUGUGUGUUAAAUUGUGUGUUGAACAUUUUAUUUUGAAAUUCUAAACUGUAUGAAAGAACAUGCUCCUACUAUACCAUUGUUACUCGAAUAAAAGAUAACCUAUACAGAGAAAAUAUAACCCUGGAGACAAGGUUGGGGGUAAAUAGCACUACCAACAAAAUGGCAAACCAUAAGAGUAAGUACAACGUGGCAUAAGCCAGCAUCUCUUCGUUCACUGUUUAAAUUUAAUAAUAAUAAUAAUUAUUAUUAUUAUUAUUAUUACUAUUACUAUUAAUUAUAUUUAUUGCCUAUUUUCAUAAUAAUUCACUAAAUUUUGUUAAUUAAUAUUAUUCGGUAACCUUACGGCGGCCGUUAAUAAUAUUAAUUGACUUGAAAAAUAAUAAUUGACUGUACGUAAUUCCUCAAUUUAGCUUCGUGGCACUUAAAACUCAAGGUUUUCCGAGAAAAAUGAAUUUUAUUUAACGUUUCACAAGAGAUGAUCAUAAGUAUUUUUCCUUUCCAGAUUUUUCUAACCUAACCACAAACACCUAGUUUCAAGUUGUGUCUCAAUUAAGCGCCACACUUCUUUAAAAAUGCGUCACACUUCAAUGUAAGAUGGGGCGAUAAGUCCAGUGCGGCGCUUAUUUGAAAGUCACUUUAAAAAUGUGGCGCUUAAUCGAUGACUACGCUGAUUUAAAGGCGCCACUUAAUAAAAGAUUUACGGUAUUUCCUGUUUGCAAUGGAUGCAGUAAAUAGCAAAUGCAAUAAAAUUUUAUCGACUUUGUUGAGACGGGCACCUUUUUGUGGAUUUUUUCACAGGAUGGUACUAGUCUAUUAUAAUUUUUAAUGUCUAUCUGCGACACGAUAGUGUGUGUUUGUUCUAUUUUGAAGCCGCAAAAAAAUUGUAUCUAAAUUAUUAUUUUUUGACCUCUCGUCAUGAAGUGAAUGCAUAGGACUGACCUCAAUAAGUAAAUAACAUUACUGAUGUCAUUUAGCAACGCAUUAUAUUUCUAGGUAAUUAUCGCUUGGAAAAGAGUGAAAAUAACUAACGUCUCCUCUCGUCUGGGUGACUAGGGGUACCUGACACUAACACUGAGACAAUUACCUAAAGAUGGAUUAAUGCAUCCGUUUCGGAACCAGCUGUGUCAAAUAUGCUCAAAGAAAUUGAGCAAAGACCAUGCUGGUGUAUUUUCGCGGAUCAGCCUAUUUUGGAUUUUUCGUAGGAUUUCAUAUCUUCCAUUAUUCGCCAGGAUGUUUUUUGUGAGCUGUUCUAAAGGAAUGAACACGUUAUGUUGGAUUAAAACAUUUAUUCAAACAUUUAUCCAACAUUCGAAGUUGGAUGCAUUUGCCCCGGCUUUAAUACGCAGAAAUCGAAAAGAAAUUAACGCUAUUAACCUGGACUUAUCUUCCUUGGUAAAGGUCAGGAAUGGCAUGAUUCAAUGACUGCAUUUUACUAAAAUAUGUACAAAAUGAUAUUUAAAAAUGUUAGUUCGAUUUUAUAUGCUUUUUUGUAUUUGGAAUACCUGAUCAAAUCACUGGUCCUGGAUGGUCGCGUGCUGACAAAAUACACACGCAUAGUGGGUAUUUAUCACGUUUAACCAUUGCUGUUUAAUUGUUUAAGCACUAUCAAAAAGUAAGGCCAGAACGAGGCAAAUCUUCGAAAACAACAUCAUGGAUUUCGCCGUGCUUUUAUGAUCGUGUGAUUCGUGGAAUGAAUUGCAAUGGUGGCUCCGUAAGCGCAGAGAAAUUAGGAUGAGUUUCCUAUUUCCGUAAAACAUUUGGACAUGUUCUGACUUUUAGUUUUCAACAACUUUAACCCUAUUCGGGCUGGAGCUUAGGGACUCUUGAAAGCCAUGGGGGAGAGGGGUUAAUAAAUCCCUCUCCCCCUUUAAAAUGACGAAGAAGUCAUCAAAUAGCCAGCAAAAUUGGCACAAAUGUUUGUUAGCAGAUUGGAAGAUGACGUUAUCAUAAAUUUCCGAACCAUAAGAGAGACUUGCACACGCCUUUGAUGUGUAUAAUGACGUGAUAAACGCAUAAAAACUGAAAUAUUUCAUGAGAACAGUUAAUAAUAUAUUUAAAGAAAAGAAAUUUUGCCUGAUUUUUCUUUUGACACCUGUUUAAAAAACCUCGUCCCCAGGGUCUUCUGGCCCCUGAACCGUUAUUACGGACAACAAGGCAAAAUGCCCUGGGAACAAGGUUGGUGUUAAACUGAUGAGGCACCAUGACAACAGACGUGAUGUCAUACCAGAAAUAGUUCACUGUCCUGGAGACAACUGAAAGUGAUGAAAAAAGUCACCAAAUUUCAACACCAAAAUCACCAAAAACAACAAAAUGGUCACGUCGGCAUCACGACUUUAUUUGUUCAGGUGUUUCCACACGCUGGACAUUUCACUGGUGGUUUGAUACGUUUAUUACUGUCAGCAUUUGUAACUUAGAAGACUGCGGUAUUUGUAGUAUUAUCUGGAAGACUAUCGUUUUCUUUUGCAACAAUAUGCUUAAUUAUGUCUGCAACCGUGGCUUUAACGUUUAUGUGGCUUAAUUUGUCGUUGGCUACGUCACCCUUUAUAUAUUGUAGAGUUUCAGAUACAUCCAAGUCUCUUCACCUGUCAUUGAUGUAUUUUGCGCAAUCUCAUCGAGAAUUUCUUAAAUUUUUUUUUGUCAUUUGACAUGCCACCUUGUGCCAUAUCUCUAAAUGUGACGGCAUGUUCACUUGCUGCUUCGCUUUCUUUUCUCAGUAAAGCAGCAAAUAAAAGUUGAUUCCGGUUUUGCUUGAAAAAAUUCAUUCUCUCACUGAAAAUAAAUGUUAAAAACCAUUCUAGUAUUUUUAUAGUACUAGUCUUUAACCGUGGAAAAAUCCAUGGGGCCACCGAUCCUUUAUAUAUCGCAUUUCGUGUUUCCGUAACAGGACGCGCCUUUUGCGGACAGACAGACAAACGACGGCGAUUAUUACAGAGAUAGUGGUUAUCCCGUGGAAAAAUCUAAGGGUUCCCCCGUCCUUUAAAUUUAUCCGUCACAACAAAGUGGAUAAAAAUAUAUCGCAUUUAAUAUUUGUGCGCAUUCUGAAAAUUUCGGGCGCGUCUUUCGCCGACACAGACAAAAAGCAGCUAUUAUUAAAGAGAUAAGUGGAAGCUUUUCAGACUAUGUCCGUCUUCAGUGCAAUAAAUAUACAAGUGAAAGCAAAAAUACAUACUUAGGUUUUUCUUCACUUUUUCUUUAAGAAUUUAUCCUAGUCAACAUUUUUAUGUGAGAUUGUGACCAUCUAUAACUAGCUUGCUCUUACCUACCUCUGGCUAAAAAGUGAAUGUAGCCAAAUGCAGUUUAACUACAACAAAAUUUCUAAUCGAAAAUUUUAUGCUACUUGUAGUUAGGUAGCUAGCUAUACCUUUAUUACUUUCAUGAAAACUUUUCCUGCAAAAUAAAAUUGCUGUGAGACUGUGUUAGCUGCACAGGUUAAUAACGGGCUGUUUCGUCUGUUUUUAUUUUCACAGAACUUGGAUACAAUUUUUUGGAGAAGGGUAUUUGCUUCUUUUCGAAUAUGUACGGUAUUCUAAAUGCUCUGCCAAGAGCAACAUUUAUUUUGGAACUUUCACCGGGAGCAUUUUAUGAAAAAUAAACAAGGUCGGCCGACUGCUUUUGCUAUGACAUGGUAACAACGGGUUGUAAUAAAACACCACAAACACCAUAGUGUUGUGUGCGCAUCACUAAAUUUAGGACAUUCUGCAUACCUGUACUAAAGCUCUCCACCUAAAUGUGUGGUUCAAUUUACAGUUCAUAUUAUUCGCUCCACCGGGCAUUCAACACCAGGCAACAGAGUUACUUGUGGCUUAAUCAGAUGUUUUGAUGCUGGGUCCCCUGGCUAGUACAGUAUAAAUGACAUACUUGUUAAAAAUAACUAAAUUUAAAAUGCAAUCUAGUGGCAUAAGUAAGACCUUGGGAAGUUACCAGCAUUAAGAAAUUAACAUAAGGGCAAAGUGAGAAUACUGGUUGGUAUACUUAACAAAGAGUGUUAUUAGAGCAUCCAAAGGACACAAAGUUUUCACAAAGAUGAAAAAACAUUGUUAUUGGUCCUGGUUUACCUGCACUUAAAUGCGGACAAACAAUGAAAAUAAAUGCUUUUAAUGCAUUUAUAGAUACUUAGUUACAAGGUUAUAACAAUGUUGAAAUUUAAUUGUCCCUUGUAUUUAGAUAAAAGCACACCUUACAUUGGUGCUAGUCCGGACAGAAUAGUGAAAUGUGAUUGCUGUCGACCAGCAUGCUUAGAAGUACAAUGUCCUUUUUUAAUUAAUUUCACAACUCUGUUAGACCAUAAUGUGAAAUUUUCUUACUUGACUCAUCAGGAGGAAAAACAAUUUUAAAUCAGAGCGAUAAAUAUUACGCACAUGCAAGUGGGAUUAACUGGUUUUCCUCUUUUUGUAGUUUAGACACCUCAUGAGAUGGUGCAUGACCUUAUCUUAUUAUCUGACCUUAUUAAGCCUGAACGUUUUGCAGUAAGGAAAUAUUUGUAGAAUAUUACAAGACAUUUUAUUUAAAAUGGUUAUUUUCAGGAUAGUUUAUUUUAUCAUAACUAGGAAAAAUAUUUUUGUGUAUGUUUGUGUUAGGCUUUUGUAUGAAAGACUUAUUUAGAAAUUAAAGUUUGAACGGCAUAUUCUUUUCUUUGAUUUAAACCUGUUGUUUGGUGGGAAAAGGGGCAUGCGAUUUUUCAAAAACUUACUGAAUUGGUUCCACAUACACACAGAUAUUCAAUUCAAGGCUACAAAAUAAAGAGAAAAAAUAAAUACACAAAAAAGCAAAACACAAAUAAAUUCAAAUUAAGACAAAUACUAUUUUUAAAGUAACACAGAUUAUUGCCAUGCUCAACUAUCCAGGCCUUUUUCACUUGCUACUUGGAAUAAUAAAACGUACAAUACUUCAAUCAGUUUCUCUCUAGUCAGUCUCUCAACAGCAACUGAUGACAGUAGUCGAUUCUACUCUCAUCAGCUGCAUGUUACAGUGGAGCAUAGCGCUAAUUACCAGAGAACUAUUUAACAAAAUACAAUGUAAUAAAGACUUCUUCACGGAGUCUUCCUGUUGCAACACCUGUUUUACAGAAAUUUUUAGUUUUUUUUUUUUUGUGUCGCUUCGCUUAUACUAAAGUUGCUUAAAAAACUUUUAAAUCCAGUUCAGUUGAUUGUUUUGGGUGUACACUCAAAACAAUCUUUUAAAUGUUGCCUCAAUAGCCUGUGUUUACCUGUUAAUGUCUAAGUGUUUUAUAAUUCAAAUAUUUUCUUCAACGGUCUGAUCCAAAUAUUCCCUUAACAGUUGGAUACUUUUGGUUUACGUUAUAAGUGCGUGGAGUACUCUCUGGAGUUGUAUUCUUAAUAGUCCUGAAAGUUUUAGCUCUAUACUUAUAUACUUGUAAACUCAAGAAGUUAACUUUACUGACAAAAGAUUUUAUGCUUUCACUCUUAUCAUUGCAUGAUUCACGUAAAAGUAGUGAAUAAAUUGUGUACGAUUGAUCUGGUACUGUCAGUGAAGAAAUCCUGAUGCAUUAAAAGUAUUCUUCUAGGGCUUCAGCAAUGGUUUGAACAUCUUCUGAAACAACAGAUGAUGCAGUCUUUUUCAGAGAAUGUGAAAAUAGUUCUCUCCUGGGUUUUGUAAAAGCAGGACUGUCAUACCCCAAUUCUUAAGUUAAGCUUUUACCUGUUCGUUAUUUCUUAAGACGCUUGGAAAACAAAAAAUUAAACAGUCGUUGACAUGAACAUUCCUCCUGGUUUACUUUGUGAAUUUCACAUCGUUCUUUCUUUCAUUUUCGUAGCCUUUUAGUGCUAUUAAAACACCUAAUAACUGCACAGUUUACACUGGGCAUGAUAAUUAAUUCUUGAAAUUAAAAUCAUUGUGCAGGUAGAUAUAUAGUGUUGUUUUUAUAUUACCGUCAUUUACCAAUCAAUACCGUUAUUAUACUGGUAAUUAUUUUACUGGUAAUUAUUUGAUUACUGUUUAAUUCUAACGGUAUAAGCAGUAGAACAGUUUUACAGGUACAACGGUAUUACUGACAAUAUAGGUUGUUACCGUUUUUCCCAAAAAUGUCACAUUUUAACAUGUAUCUUUUUUCGUUUGUUAUUAAAUUUGCUGGUUGUGUCGGAGAGUACUGAAGAGUAUUUUGCAAUCAAGUCUUUCAUAGCGAUGUCAAAGAAAUUUGUUAAAUAACUUCUUUUAGCUGCACCUUGUCAA
Hydractinia symbiolongicarpus is the source of this 9996-nucleotide long non-coding RNA. RefSeq lists it as uncharacterized. The record is from RefSeq and is a predicted model, not a curated record. NCBI's taxonomy places the organism in Eukaryota, Metazoa, Cnidaria, Hydrozoa, Anthoathecata, Hydractiniidae. The transcript has 2 exons.